This 272-nucleotide long non-coding RNA is filed under the name Apteryx rowi (Okarito brown kiwi). Its description in RNAcentral is "lncRNA (ENSARWG00000018268.1)". Lineage: Eukaryota; Metazoa; Chordata; Aves; Apterygiformes; Apterygidae. The record is from RNAcentral.
GCAGCUUGCAAAACGGCAAUGUCACAGAACUGACCACAUUCAUCACAAUAUGGAGUCUGGAGAGCGGUUAUCGUCAUCAUCAGCUUCCUCUACUGCAGCUACUUCGUCUCCAGCAUCUUCUACGCCUUCUGUAGCUUCAGCAGUUUCAAAGGGUGGCCUCCCCAGUGGAGCUGCAUCACAGAGUUCUGCCAUCAACGCAUGUGGUCUUAAUAUAGAAAUGAUCUUGUGACUCCUUAAAUAAACUUUGAUGAAGAGCAGAUCUGGUGCCUAAA